This 1071-nucleotide ribosomal RNA is filed under the name uncultured euryarchaeote. RNAcentral's name for it is "bacterial SSU rRNA". It matches the Rfam family "Archaeal small subunit ribosomal RNA", at positions 325 to 1408 of the family's 1478-position model. Lineage: Archaea; Methanobacteriati; Methanobacteriota. The record is from RNAcentral.
ACGGGGCGCAGCAGGGGCGAAAACUUUACAAUGUGCGAAAGCACGAUAAGGGAACUCUGAGUGCCUCCUAUGGAGGCUGUUCAGGUGUCUAAAAAGCACUUGAAGUAAGGGCUGGGUAAGACCGGUGCCAGCCGCCGCGGUAACACCGGCAGCCCAAGUGGUAGCCACGAUUAUUGGGUCUAAAGCGUCCGUAGCCGGCCAGGUAAGUUCUUUGGGAAAUUUAACCGCUCAACGGUUAAGCUUUCAGGGAAUACUGCUUGGCUUGGGACCGGGAGAGGUCAGAGGUACUUCAAGGGUAGGGGUGAAAUCCGUUAAUCCUUGAGGGACCACCAGUAGCGAAGGCGUCUGACCAGACCGGGUCCGACGGUGAGGGACGAAGGCUGGGGUCGCGAACCGGAUUAGAUACCCGGGUAGUCCUAGCUGUAAACGAUGCGGGCCAGGUGUUGGCAUUACUGCGAGUGAUGUCAGUGCCGAAGGGAAGCCGUUAAGCCCGCCAUCUGGGGAGUACGGUCGCAAGGCUGAAACUUAAAGGAAUUGGCGGGGGAGCACCACAACGGGUGGAGCCUGCGGUUCAAUUGGAUUCAACGCCGGGAAACUCACCGGAGGCGACAGCAAGAUGAAGGUCAGGCUGAAGACCUUACCGGAUUAGCUGAGAGGUGGCGCAUGGCCGUCGACAGUUCGUGUCGUGAAACAUCCUGUUAAGUCAGGCAACGGGCGAGACCCGCGCUCACAGUUGCCAGCAUCUCCGUAAGGAGGAUGGGAACUCUGUGAGGACUGCCGCCGCUAAGGUGGAGGAAGAAGCGGGCCACGGUAGGUCAGUAUGCCCCGAAUCCUCCGGGCUACACGCGUGCUACAAUGGAUAGUACAAUGAGUAUCGACCCCGAAAGGGGAAGGUAAACCCCUAAAACUAUCCUUAGUUGGGAUCGAGGGCUGCAACUCGCCCUCGUGAACCUGGGAAUCCGUAGUAAUCGCAUCUCAAAAUGGUGCGGUGAAUAUGUCCCUGCUCUGCACACACGACCGUCAGCCAGCGGACGAUUAGGUGGAGGUCAUGUUUUUUGGCCAUGUUUUUCA